AUGUCAACGGCCAGCUUCCGCUUCCGCCGCCGCCUCCCCCGCCCGCCGCGGCCAUCGCUGGAUGACGACGACCUGCUCUCCGAGAUCCUCCUGCGCCUCCCCCCGCGGCCGUCCUCCCUCCCGCGCGCCUCCCUCGUCUGCAGGCGCUGGCACAGCCUCGUCUCCCACCCCGCCUUCCGCCGCCGCUUCCGCGUCCACCACCGCCGCGGCAGCCCUCCCCUCCUCGGCUUCUUCGACGACCACCACAGGAACACCUUCCAGCCGGCGCUGGGCGCCCCCGACCGCCUCCCCCGCGGCCUCUUCUCCCUGGAGCUCGACGGCAGCUACACGACCCUCGGAUGGCGCCACGGCCUCGCGCUCUUCUUCUUCCCGGUCUCGCUCCAGGUCCUCGUCUGGGACCCCGUCGCCGGCGGCCAGCAUCGCCUGCCCGUCCCCCCGGAGUUCCGCCUGGACCUGGUGGUGGGCAGCGGGGCGGUGCUUUGCGCUGCCACUGCCAGAGACGCCGGCGACCACUUCCAGCCAGGUGGUCCUCGUAGUCGUAGGCAGUGA
This 549-nucleotide ribosomal RNA is filed under the name Triticum aestivum (bread wheat). RNAcentral describes it as "partial small subunit ribosomal RNA". Lineage: Eukaryota; Viridiplantae; Streptophyta; Magnoliopsida; Poales; Poaceae. The record is from RNAcentral.